This 27-nucleotide small RNA is filed under the name Bombyx mori (domestic silkworm). Its description in RNAcentral is "ovarian small RNA-11733". The record is from RNAcentral. Lineage: Eukaryota; Metazoa; Arthropoda; Insecta; Lepidoptera; Bombycidae.
ACUUUGCGAAGUUGGGCCCUCGAUUGA